GAUCUCAAAUCAAGUAGGGAUACCCGCUGAACUUAAGCAUAUCAGUAAGCGGAGGAAAAGAAACUAACAAGGAUUCCUUUAGUAACGGCGAGUGAACCGGGAAAAGCUCAAAUUUAAAAUCUAGUACCUUUGGUGCUCGACUUGUAUUUGAUAGGGUCUCUCCUUUCAGGGAAGACUGUGACCAAAGUUCUCUGGAAAGGGACAACAAAGAGGGUGACAUUCCCGUUUGGGUUACAGUUGUGCAUCUCUGGUACAAAGGAGGCCUCAAGAGUCGGAUUGUUUGGGAAUGCAGUCCAAAAUGGGUGGUACAUUUCAUCUAAAGCUAAAUAUUGGCAAGAGACCGAUAGCGAACAAGUACCGUGAGGGAAAGAUGAAAAGAACUUUGAAAAGAGAGUUAAAUAGUACGUGAAAUUGUUAAAAGGGAAACGA
Molecule: ribosomal RNA, 429 nt
Filed under: uncultured fungus
Lineage: Eukaryota; Fungi
Description: eukaryotic LSU rRNA
Rfam family: Eukaryotic large subunit ribosomal RNA
Source: RNAcentral